This 69-nucleotide microRNA precursor is filed under the name Bombyx mori (domestic silkworm). Its description in RNAcentral is "mir-2774 microRNA precursor family". It matches the Rfam family "mir-2774 microRNA precursor family". The record is from Rfam by way of RNAcentral. Lineage: Eukaryota; Metazoa; Arthropoda; Insecta; Lepidoptera; Bombycidae.
ACAACAUUCGGACCGAGUCGGUUUACUGAGCAAUAUCACCCACUCGGUGGAAGAUGUUCCCUUCGUCGU